AGGCUGAAGCUGCAGUCUUUUCACCCACCGCUUUCCCGUGAGGUAAAGAGAAUGUUCAUACCUCAGGUCUUGUUACCAAGCAACAGAGUCCCAUUUGCCAAUUGCCACCAUUUCCUUCUCACAGUAUUACAGGCCUUAUUAUUAACAUUUAGUUCAGAGAAAUUGCUGUCAUUAUGUGAAGUAACUUCCUUUAGAGGUUAUUCAUUAACCUUAGGUAUUUUACUGUGUAAUUGUAAUUGUCAAGUGCCGCAGGCUUGGAAAAACCUUUGAACUCCUCAAGGUAUGAGGGGAUGGCAGAGAGGACAGUAUCUGAUUUUUGCCCUCCCUUUUCUAGUUGUUUUAAUCUUGAAGGUGUCUCAUUUUCCCUGUGGAGGUGGCUGCCUUCCUAGAGGGUAAACUUCCAGAUUGCUGACCGUAAGCUCAGAAGAUAACUAUGGAGGUACUGGCCAGGGAGAGUCUGAUUUCCUCAAAUACUCUAGACUAGAGGGAAAUGGUAUCCUCUUAAGGAAAAAAUCGCGGGGGUAUUCAUAAGACCCGCAUGGUUGGCGCAUACUCUGGUGUGAAGGUGGGACUCCGCGAAGACGUCGCACAGUACCUGGAAUUGUGUAUUGUGCACAACCUUGUGCUGAGACAACGGAAAACCGCCAUCUUAUUGCUCACUCAAUGCCUCCAUAACACCAAUUUUUCACUCCCGGGCUUUGCAGCAGCCCGGUGUACUUUCCAUAAUACGCCUAUUACACAGGCAUCCUCACUAGCCAUCGCUUACACAAUUACCCGUGUGAUUUUCUCCAUCCCGGCGUGGUUGCCAUCGUCUUCGGUCCCCACCCAGUAUAACUUCGGGCGCCUGCAUCACGGGUGCCCUAAAAAAAUAGGAGACGCGUUCCCCUCCUCCCAGGUUUCUGGUUUCUCCACCCAGUCUCCCCACCGUCCUCCACUCCUCGCACCCCAGCCCUUCCGGCCUCCACCCAGACCGGGGAGAAGCGGGCCUGACAUUCCAGCGUGCACUUUGAUCGUGACCCCUGAACAGGCACGGCCAGCCCUGGGGUUUUCUGGCGUUAACCGAAGCUGCAGGCAAAAGCAGCGCGAUCUCCGGGAGGAGAGUCCGAACAGGCUGUACGGGAGCCGCAGCACAAGUCUGGACGCAGAGGCUGCGCGCGGGAGCAGGGCUGGCCGCCCUGGCAGGAGCCCGAGCUGCAGGCCUCGGCUGGGAAGUGGGUCCCUCCGUCAUUUCCCCUGCCUCCACGGUCCCCAGCUUGCCUUUGACAGCUCUCUUCUUUGAUCUGUAAAACAGAAGGGAAUUGGGGAUACUUUGAUAUUCUUUAAAAGGCCCUGGGAUUUGCUGCUUUCUCCCCAAAUGAAGGGCUGCUGGAGAGUUUCUGGAAGGAACGUGCUGUCACAUGUAAUCUAAUGAGCUUGGCCUCUUCUUCCAGUGCCCAUUAAUCAAUCAGCCAACACUGAAUGCGUCUAAGUGUGGAUUCUGUGUGCAGCCCGGAAGUAAGGGCAUGGUCUCUGCUUUUAAGGUAUUUAUGGUUUAGCUGGGGAGCUGGGGAUAUACCUGAGUGUAAAACGUGACAAUAGCUAACACUUAGUACUAGGAGAAGGCAAUGGCACCCCACUCCAGUGCUCUUCCCUGGAAAAUCCCAUGGACGGAGGAGCCUGGUAGGCUGCAGUCCAUGGCGUCUCGAAGAGUCAGACUCGACUGAAGCGACUUAGCAGCAACAGCAGCAGCACUGAGUACUAACUAGGUACCAGUUUCUGUGUGGCGCUUUCUUUUAUUCCUCAAAACACGCCAUCAAAUAGGUACUGUAAUAUCAUCCUCAUUUUACAGAGGUUUUGGCCAGAGCCCAGGUCACAGGGCAGGGGCAGUCAGGCUGUGUGCAUCAGGUCUGGCCUGCUUCAGAGGAGGGAGCUGCUUGUGCAGGCCAAGUCUGUUGAACAUCCAGUAAUGAUGAUCGGUCAGUGCCUUUGACCUCAUCCUCUCCGCUCUGGUUCAGAGGCUGUCCUUGCCCUCUCGCUCUGGAGAGCAGGAAACGUGUCCCAAGGAACCUUUUUAGCCACCAGUGCCCUUUGGGAUGCUUCACACUGUUCUGUUUCUUCUUCCUCUGUCUUUUCUUGCUCAACAAUCACAGUCCAGUUCAUUUUUCCCUAGGUAACAUUAACCUUAUACAUAUGUCUUGUUAGUCCCUUGUGAUUAUAUUAUCCAAAUAGAGAGAAGGGACCUAAUUCAAAACAAAUAAAUGUACAAAGCAUGUGAAGCAGAACUUCAUCUCAAUGCCGUGGGACUCGGUGAUGUCUUGGGUUCCUUCCUCUGACUUUGAAUCAUUCCUUCCCUCUCUGUUUUAUGUGGAGCGGUGACCUUCCUUAAACAUAGGUAGACUCAGUAUAGCAUAUUCAACUCAAUUUGCACUCAUGAUG
Bos taurus (domestic cattle) is the source of this 2415-nucleotide long non-coding RNA. The record is from Ensembl. NCBI's taxonomy places the organism in Eukaryota, Metazoa, Chordata, Mammalia, Artiodactyla, Bovidae.